Molecule: ribosomal RNA, 320 nt
Filed under: uncultured Prevotella sp.
Lineage: Bacteria; Pseudomonadati; Bacteroidota; Bacteroidia; Bacteroidales; Prevotellaceae
Description: bacterial SSU rRNA
Rfam family: Bacterial small subunit ribosomal RNA
Source: RNAcentral
GAUGAACGCUAGCUACAGGCUUAACACAUGCAAGUCGAGGGGCAGCAUGAAGUUUGCUUGCAAACUUUGAUGGCGACCGGCGCACGGGUGAGUAACGCGUAUCCAACCUUCCCUAUACUAGAGGAUAGCCCGGCGAAAGUCGGAUUAAUACUCUAUGUUCUUCGUAGAAGACAUCUGAAAUGAAGCAAAGGUUUACCGGUAUAGGAUGGGGAUGCGUCUGAUUAGGUUGUUGGCGGGGUAACGGCCCACCAAGCCCACGAUCAGUAGGGGUUCUGAGAGGAAGGUCCCCCACAUUGGAACUGAGACACGGUCCAAACUCC